AAAACACAACACAAAGACGCUGAGACGUCAAAAGAAACUCGCAAAUGGAAAUAGACUGCCAAUGGCUGGUCUUACGUCCGGCUCCGAACACACAAACACAAACAGGAAACCGAAUGCCAAUCGCUGGGCUUACAUCAGACUCCAAACAAACAACAACAGAUGGGAAACCGAAUGCCAAUCGUUGGGCUUACAUCAGACUCCAAGCACACAACAAAUAGGAAACGGAAUGCCAAUCGCUGGUCUUACAUCCAACUCCUAACACACACAAAAAGGUUAUCAAACAGACAAGCUAAUAGGGAGCCUGGAACUCGAGCCUAAUAGCUGUCAAGCAGACACACACAAAAAAGAAAAGGUUGCCCGGAGAGAUCUCGCACGAUCUCCUGCCUACGUACCUCAUCUGGUAUGAGGAUCAGGGCGACGUAGUUCCCCUUAACAGGGGAGAAACUUUCUCCUAAACCCAGAGACCAAGGGAAUAACGGACUAAAAGGGAGACUGACUCGAGCCUAAUAGUCGUCAUGCAAAUCAUAACCCUAGGUUGAGGUCUCUAACAAGAG
This 554-nucleotide long non-coding RNA is filed under the name Lathyrus oleraceus (garden pea). RNAcentral describes it as "Pisum sativum (pea) long non-coding RNA (PSAT_LNC007229)". The record is from RNAcentral. Lineage: Eukaryota; Viridiplantae; Streptophyta; Magnoliopsida; Fabales; Fabaceae.